CAGCCGCCGCGGUAAGACAGAGGAUGCAAGCGUUACCCGGAAUGAUUGGGCGUAAAGCGCACGUAGGCGGAUAUUUAAGUCAGGGGUGAAAUCCCAGAGCUCAACUCUGGAACUGCCUUUGAUACUGGGUAUCUUGAGUAUGGAAGAGGUGAGUGGAAUUCCGAGUGUAGAGGUGAAAUUCGUAGAUAUUCGGAGGAACACCAGUGGCGAAGGCGGCUCACUGGUCCAUUACUGACGCUGAGGUGCGAAAGCGUGGGGAGCAAACAGGAUUAGAUACCCGUGUAGUCCCUGUCUCUUAUAC
RNAcentral lists this ribosomal RNA (301 nucleotides) under uncultured bacterium. Its description in RNAcentral is "partial 16S ribosomal RNA". It matches the Rfam family "Bacterial small subunit ribosomal RNA", at positions 509 to 807 of the family's 1533-position model. The record is from RNAcentral.